GGAUGCGAUCAUACCAGCACUAAAGCACCGGAUCCCAUCAGAACUCCGAAGUUAAGC
Non-coding RNA from Triticum aestivum (bread wheat), 57 nucleotides. NCBI's taxonomy places the organism in Eukaryota, Viridiplantae, Streptophyta, Magnoliopsida, Poales, Poaceae. The record is from Rfam.